CUCUUCUUUAUAACCCUGAACAUCUUUCUCUUUGGGUACAUCGAAAAUCUCACUCCACCGCUCCAACCCUUCACCGCCGCACCCCCACCAUUGUCACCACCACUGUCACUACCAUCACAGAUCCUUUGUAUUUUCCGGAGGUAAGUGGGGUUCCGAAGGCAACACGAGUGGAUGAUCUAGUUUGUGAUGGAGAGCGAUGACUGCAACGCCACAGCCGCGCUCAAUUAAACGAUCAGUGAUUUGGGGGUUUUCGUGAUCAGGAGCGAAGUGGAGUAGGGUCAGUUCUAGGGUUUCAAGGCUGAAGUUGACGGCGGUACUCGAUGGCACCUUCCUUUCCAAUGAAACCCUAAAUCGAUCCUUGCCUUUUUUCCAUAUUAUUAUUCCGGCGAGUCGAAGCAGAUAAUCGGGAAAGUGAUGGUUCUUGACGGCUGAGUAGUGUCUACAAGAAUUAAGUUAAUUCUGAAAGCUGGAUGACGGUGGCGAUAGUACACAAUGUAUACGUUUAAAGAGGAUGUUCGUGGGGAGUUUCCUAUUGGUCAAUGGGGUGUUGGGAGAUGCUCGAAUCAGGACGGAAAAUUGCAACACAGAGAUAACAGGAGAAAAAAGCGUCUUAGAGAGGUCGAUGAAGGACAACGGUGAGGAGUCGAGACCAAGUCUUGGCUUAUAUAUCCAACAUUGAGGUCCAACAUGAGUCUGCAAGAAAUUGGCCAGAAAAUAUGGCAAUUUUAGCCUGUUGAGUGCACGUAAGAAAAAGAGAAAUGGGGGUGAACCAUUUGCAUUUGAAGAUGAGCUCUUUCACAAUGCCUUACCACACCGCACCCCACAUGCCCUCUAAAUCUUCAGCAAUGGAAGGCGGCUAAGCUGAACUGAAUGGGACCAAACGCUGUGAUUAUUUCGAGGGUAUAUUGGUAUCUUUUCAUGUACGUGAUACCUAUUCUUACGGGAAAUUUCGGUAACGGUUCAAAUCAAGCCAAGACCGCCGUAAAUGUCGAUUUAUUUACAUUUAAUUAAGGACAUUCAAUUUCGGUAAAGUGAACUAAAUAAUGAUGGUUAAUACACUUUGAUUUUCUUUUGCUGUAUGUGCCUAAAUAAUGGCUAUCUUGGUUGUAUCCGAAGUUGAUAAUACUUAUAUCAAUUGCCUUAUGUGAAUAUACGGUUUUGCCGCCGCAAAGCGCGGCAGGG
Long non-coding RNA from Helianthus annuus (common sunflower), 1182 nucleotides. RefSeq lists it as uncharacterized. The record is from RefSeq and is a predicted model, not a curated record. Lineage: Eukaryota; Viridiplantae; Streptophyta; Magnoliopsida; Asterales; Asteraceae. The transcript has 3 exons.